This is a long non-coding RNA of Drosophila busckii, 390 nucleotides long. RefSeq lists it as uncharacterized. The transcript has 2 exons. The record is from RefSeq and is a predicted model, not a curated record. Lineage: Eukaryota; Metazoa; Arthropoda; Insecta; Diptera; Drosophilidae.
GCUGCUUGCUACACAUUUUGUUAUAAAGCAACUCACAUUUCGGCUUAGACGCUGCUGCUUAUAGCAUCGUCUCUAAAAAAUUUUAAGUAUUGGCAUUAAAAAUUUAUUAUUUAAUACUUAAUCCAGUUUAAGUAUGCAGCGCGCUCUUACGUUCAUUGUUGGUGGCAUUGUUGGCUAUUUAGUUGCCAAGAAUCAUCGUUAAAAUCUGAUUGAAGCAGUUUGAAGAAAAGAAAAUGACGCACGUUAUUUCAUUUGCGCUGGGCAUUCUCAUUGGCAUGAUGAUGUGCAAACGCUGCGGUCCAUAAACUAAACCAAAACAAUAGCCCCACACGACUGCAGCUGUAAAUAUUUCGUUGUUAAAUAUAAAAUUAAUGCAUAACUAAACUUCGA